Non-coding RNA from Pelobates cultripes (western spadefoot toad), 209 nucleotides. Lineage: Eukaryota; Metazoa; Chordata; Amphibia; Anura; Pelobatidae. The record is from the annotation of a GenBank genome assembly.
GUGUGUGUGUGUGUGUGUACAGGAGUCUAGUGUGUGUUUGAAGGACCCAGAAUGUGUAUGAGAUCUAGUGAGUGUGUGUAUAUAACAGAAUCAGAGUGUAUAUGGGGAUUUAGUGUGUGUAUAUGAUCCAUAGUUGGGUAAGGGAUAGUGUGUCUGGAAUGUAAUAUGUUUAGGGGUGCAGUAUGUGUGUGUGAGGGGUUCAGUGUGUG